This 254-nucleotide ribosomal RNA is filed under the name uncultured bacterium. RNAcentral's name for it is "partial 16S ribosomal RNA". It matches the Rfam family "Bacterial small subunit ribosomal RNA", at positions 524 to 776 of the family's 1533-position model. The record is from RNAcentral.
UACGUAGGGUGCGAGCGUUAAUCGGAAUUACUGGGCGUAAAGCGUGCGCAGGCGGUCUGUUAAGACCGAUGUGAAAUCCCCCGGGCUUAACCUGGGAACUGCAUUGGUGACUGGCAGGCUUUGAGUGUGGCAGAGGGAGGUAGAAUUCCACGUGUAGCAGUGAAAUGCGUAGAGAUGUGGAGGAAUACCGAUGGCGAAGGCAGCCUCCUGGGCCAACACUGACGCUCAUGCACGAAAGCGUGGGAGCAAACAGG